Non-coding RNA from Heterocephalus glaber (naked mole-rat), 1007 nucleotides. Lineage: Eukaryota; Metazoa; Chordata; Mammalia; Rodentia; Bathyergidae. The record is from RefSeq and is a predicted model, not a curated record.
UUUUUGUUUUUGUUUGUGAAUUCUUGCAUCCGGUGACAAACAGGACUGUGGCCAUCUUUCCCACAUGAACACAAUCGUGGCCAUCUUUUCAAGAAUCGUGGAAUGAAUUAAGUCCAUGAACCGAGCUUUUCCUGAGAAAGACACAAGUAUUCUUGAACAAGCUUAUAGGCUUCAGACUACUGAAAUUACUAUGGAGAUACCAUCAUAAGGAUCAGAGAUUUCAAGGUUGACAUUGGAGGCCCUGCAAGUGCAUUCUGAGCAUUCUCUACUUCCCUUGUCAUGGGACAAGACCUUCACCUCAUUCCCCAUCAUUGCUGGCUUCUGGUUGCCGUUUCUCCACUCCACUCCAUUCCACUCCACUCCACCAGAAGCUCUGUGAGGUCACAGACCAUGCUAUGUUCUUCACCAAUAAACUGUUCUCAGUUCGUAAAGCAGUAAUGCAUGCGCACACGUGUAUAUAUGUGUAUAUAAUAAACGUGUAUAUAAAACGAAGUACUGAAUUAUAAACAACUUACUGAUACAACUAUUGCCUGCAAGAAGACACUGACAGGACCAACAGUUAAGGUCACGGAGCUGGUUGCUAACAACCUUCAUCCUGUUUCCCAUACCCUGGCACCAUGAUUAUCAUUUCUUUCAAUCUACUGAGAAGCAUCUUAUGGCCAGGACUCUACAUAAUAAAGUAGCAAAGAUCUCUAGAGACUUCAUCAAGAUCCUUUGAACACCUUCACCAUAAUAUUUCUGGAGAUAUUGUGGCCAAUAGACUUCCUGGGCUCCUCCUGCCCAAACUCUGUUCAACCCUCACACUACACUAUUCAGCUGAAUCUAACUUCAUGAUACCCAGACAUCAAGAAACCAAAGAGAGCCCUACUUGCCAUCUGUCCUGUAUAGAAGGCUCACCAAGGGAUUCAGGGCCAUUAUAGAGAAGACCACAUUACCUUCCAGGAGCAUCUCCUUUCUCAUCAAACCACACCUCCUCUCCAGACACGCCGAUGAAGGAGGACUUGAUG